CACGUAGGGGGCAAGCGUUGUUCGGAAUUACUGGGCGUAAAGAGCGUGUAGGCGGUUGGAAAAGUCAGGUGUGAAAUUCUUCGGCUCAGCCGAGGGACUGCGCCUGAAACUUUUCGACUGGAGUUCGGGAGGGGCAACUGGAAUUCCUGGUGUAACGGUGAAAUGUGUAGAUAUCAGGAGGAACACCGGUGGCGAAGGCGGGUUGCUGGACCGAAACUGACGCUGAGACGCGAAAGCGUGGGUAGCAAACAGGAUUAGAUACCCUGGUAGUCCACGCUGUAAACGAUGAGUGCUAGGUGUAGGGGGUAUCGACUCCUUCUGUGCCGCAGUUAACGCAUUAAGCACUCCGCCUGGGGAGUACGGCCGCAAGGUUAAA
Molecule: ribosomal RNA, 376 nt
Filed under: uncultured bacterium
Lineage: Bacteria
Description: bacterial SSU rRNA
Rfam family: Bacterial small subunit ribosomal RNA
Source: RNAcentral